AGGGUGCGAGCGUUGUCCGGAAUUAUUGGGCGUAAAGAGCUCGUAGGCGGUGUGUCGCGUCGGCCGUGAAAACUUGGGGCUUAACUCUGAGCGUGCGGUCGAUACGGGCAUCACUUGAGUUCGGCAGGGGAGACUGGAAUUCCUGGUGUAGCGGUGAAAUGCGCAGAUAUCAGGAGGAACACCGGUGGCGAAGGCGGGUCUCUGGGCCGAUACUGACGCUGAGGAGCGAAAGCAUGGGGAGCAAACAGG
Molecule: ribosomal RNA, 249 nt
Filed under: uncultured bacterium
Lineage: Bacteria
Description: partial 16S ribosomal RNA
Rfam family: Bacterial small subunit ribosomal RNA
Source: RNAcentral